RNAcentral lists this ribosomal RNA (503 nucleotides) under uncultured bacterium. RNAcentral's name for it is "partial 16S ribosomal RNA". It matches the Rfam family "Bacterial small subunit ribosomal RNA", at positions 30 to 523 of the family's 1533-position model. The record is from RNAcentral.
AUUGAACGCUGGCGGCAGGCUUAACACAUGCAAGUCGAGCGGAGUGAUGGUGCUUGCACUAUCACUUAGCGGCGGACGGGUGAGUAAUGCUUAGGAAUCUGCCUAUUAGUGGGGGACAACAUCUCGAAAGGGAUGCUAAUACCGCGUACGUCCUACGGGAGAAAGCAGGGGAUCACUUGUGACCUUGCGCUAAUAGAUGAGCCUAAGUCGGAUUAGCUAGUUGGUGGGGUAAAGGCCUACCAAGGCGACGAUCUGUAGCGGGUCUGAGAGGAUGAUCCGCCACACUGGGACUGAGACACGGCCCAGACUCCUACGGGAGGCAGCAGUGUGGAAUAUUGGACAAUGGGGGGAACCCUGAUCCAGCCAUGCCGCGUGUGUGAAGAAGGCCUUAUGGUUGUAAAGCACUUUAAGCGAGGAGGAGGCUCUUUUGGUUAAUACCCAAGAUGAGUGGACGUUACUCGCAGAAUAAGCACCGGCUAACUCUGUGCCAGCCGCCGCGGUAA